Glossina austeni is the source of this 112-nucleotide non-coding RNA. NCBI's taxonomy places the organism in Eukaryota, Metazoa, Arthropoda, Insecta, Diptera, Glossinidae. The record is from Rfam.
GGCAAGGGCACUCUGUGACACUUGUUAUUAAUUUUAAAGUGUAAACAAUUUGUUACCUUGCCAGAAUAAAUCAAUUACGUAAAACCUUAACCAAUGUCGUAUUAUAGAUUGA